GAGGAAGAUGGCGGCGUCCGCAGCUGCCGCUGAGCCCCAGGCUUCUCGGGGUCCGCAGCACCCAGUGUGUCUGUUGGUGUUGGGAAUGGCGGGAUCCGGGAAAACCACUUUUGUACAGAGGCUCACAGGACACCUGCAUGCCCAAGGCACUCCACCGUAUGUGAUCAACCUGGAUCCAGCAGUACAUGAAGUUCCCUUUCCUGCCAAUAUUGAUAUUCGUGACACUGUAAAGUAUAAAGAAGUAAUGAAACAGUAUCCUUUUCCAUCUACUUUGGUCUUGACUCAUUCCUGGCUUCUUGUCUGUGUAUUUUGUGGCUUAAAAGAGUGUUUUUGCCUUUUCCUUGUGAAAUAUACAAGCAAAAGGAUGGAAGCUGAUUGUGGGAGAGGUAGGUGAUCAGAAAUACUAUUUCAGCUUGAGAUUUUAGUUUUCUUACCAUCUCCCCAGAUGGCAGGCUGUUGUAAUUAAAGAGCAGAGAGUAUGAUAGGAUAACUGACAGCUACCUGGGUCCCACAAGGUAGUAUUUUGCCUUGGAGGAUCAUCUGUUGGUCACCACCUCUUUAGACUGGGAAACUCAGAAAUGAGUGAGUUUAGUUGGAUUAACUCUUAGUAAAUUGCUGUAUGAAAUGUGCACUCUCUCCGUAGGCAAGUCUAAGUAGGAAGACUAAUCAUAAUCAGCAGAUUGCUUGAUUUAUUUAUGAGGAUCAGAGCCGGAGGUGUUAUACAGGUGGCUUUAAUGACCAAUGCCAGUGGGCUGUCACUGCCUGAUGCACCUGUAUUACAUUUUGGUCACUUUGUUUUCUUCAUUUUGCCUGACCAUUCCUAAAA
RNAcentral lists this small RNA (826 nucleotides) under Pan troglodytes (chimpanzee). Its description in RNAcentral is "retained intron". Lineage: Eukaryota; Metazoa; Chordata; Mammalia; Primates; Hominidae. The record is from RNAcentral.